UGGGGAAUAUUGCACAAUGGGGGAAACCCUGAUGCAGCGACGCCGCGUGAACGAAGAAGGUAUUCGUAUCGUAAUGUUCUGUCCUAUGGGAAGAUAAUGACAGUACCAUAGAAGAAAGCUCCGGCUAAAUACGUGCCAGCAGCCGCGGUAAUACGUAUGGAGCGAGCGUUGUCCGGAAUUAUUGGGCGUAAAGGGUACGCAGGCGGUUUAAUAAGUCGAAUGUUAAAGAUCGGGGCUCAACCCCGUAAAGCAUUGGAAACUGAUAAACUUGAGUAGUGGAGAGGAAAGUGGAAUUCCUAGUGUAGUGGUGAAAUACGUAGAUAUUAGGAGGAAUACCAGUAGCGAAGGCGACUUUCUGGACACAAACUGACGCUGAGGUACGAAAGCGUGGGGAGCAAACAGG
This 403-nucleotide ribosomal RNA is filed under the name bacterium. RNAcentral describes it as "partial 16S ribosomal RNA". It matches the Rfam family "Bacterial small subunit ribosomal RNA", at positions 355 to 776 of the family's 1533-position model. The record is from RNAcentral.